Molecule: non-coding RNA, 657 nt
Filed under: Pan troglodytes (chimpanzee)
Lineage: Eukaryota; Metazoa; Chordata; Mammalia; Primates; Hominidae
Source: RNAcentral
GAGGACGGGCACCAAAUCUGCAUUGUCCAUUGCUAUUUCCCAGGUUGAGUUGCUGAAGCGGCUUCAUUGUCUGGGGACAUACCCAUGGUUCGUCAUCACGUGACGAGAAGAUUAAGGACACAGACGCAAACACGGAGCGGGUCAAGUAGCGGAAAGUUUAAUACGCAGGAAAGAAGAGAGCAGCUCACCGGUAGAGAGCCGUCAGUGGUGUGCCAGAUAAGAAGCUAUGCACUGAAAAGAUGGAGAGGAGCGGCGAGAUUCUGCAUCUUAGCUUGCCUAGGUGGGGAGCAGGAAAAAGGAGGAAGACUGAAGCACAAAGCUUCUCUCGUCUGUGUCACCCUCUGCAAGGAGUUUGCAGUUGGACUGGAAAACCCACAUUUCCCACUGAGUGCUUUACCACUCUCAGUGGAACUUAGGUUCUGAUACUGAGAACAAAGGAGAGAAUGGACAAUGAAGGGAUCACUAGCAGUUUUCGUUACAAAUAGUAUCUUGAAAAAACCUUAACAAUAAGGUGAGGUGUGGUGGCUCAUGCCUGUAAUAUCAGCACUUUGGGAGACCGAGGUGGGCAGAUUGCUUGAGCCCAGGAGUUGGAGACCAGCCUGGGCAACAUGGCGAAACCCUGUCUCUACAAAAAUAUACAAAAAAUUAGCCAGCAUG